This 72-nucleotide transfer RNA is filed under the name Nanobdellota archaeon. RNAcentral describes it as "tRNA-Ala". It matches the Rfam family "tRNA". Rfam says of the family: Transfer RNA (tRNA) molecules are approximately 80 nucleotides in length. Their secondary structure includes four short double-helical elements and three loops (D, anti-codon, and T loops). The record is from RNAcentral. Lineage: Archaea; Nanobdellati; Nanobdellota.
GGGCUCGUAGUGUAAUGGCAACACACACCAUUGGCUAUGGUGAGACUGUGGGUUCGACUCCCGCCGAGUCCA